CGGCAGGCCUAACACAUGCAAGUCGAGCGCUCACCUUCGGGUGGGAGCGGCGGACGGGUUAGUAACGCGUGGGAACAUACCCUUCUCUAUGGAAUAGCCUCGGGAAACUGAGAGUAAUACCAUAUACGCCCUUCGGGGGAAAGAUUUAUCGGAGAAGGAUUGGCCCGCGUUUGAUUAGAUAGUUGGUGGGGUAAUGGCCUACCAAGUCUACGAUCAAUAGCUGGUUUGAGAGGAUGAUCAGCAACACUGGGACUGAGACACGGCCCAGACUCC
This 273-nucleotide ribosomal RNA is filed under the name unidentified marine bacterioplankton. Its description in RNAcentral is "partial 16S ribosomal RNA". It matches the Rfam family "Bacterial small subunit ribosomal RNA", at positions 40 to 339 of the family's 1533-position model. The record is from RNAcentral.